AACACUGUUAACCUGCGGUACCUGCGGAAGGAUCAUUACCGAGUGAGGGCCCUCCGGGUCCAACCUCCCACCCGUGUUUAACGAACCUUGUUGCUUCGGCGGGCCCGCCUCACGGCCGCCGGGGGGCACCCCGCCCCCGGGCCCGCGCCCGCCGAAGACACCUGUGAACGCUGUCUGAAGUUGCAGUCUGAGACACUAGCUCAAUCAGUUAAAACUUUCAGCAAUGGAUCUCAGAUCGGA
Molecule: unclassified non-coding RNA, 240 nt
Filed under: soil metagenome
Description: partial contains 5.8S ribosomal RNA, internal transcribed spacer 2, and large subunit ribosomal RNA
Source: RNAcentral